This 253-nucleotide ribosomal RNA is filed under the name uncultured bacterium. RNAcentral describes it as "partial 16S ribosomal RNA". It matches the Rfam family "Bacterial small subunit ribosomal RNA", at positions 524 to 776 of the family's 1533-position model. The record is from RNAcentral.
GACAGAGGGUGCAAACGUUGCUCGGAAUCACUGGGCGUAAAGGGCGUGUAGGCGGGAAUGUAAGUCGGGCGUGAAAGCCCCAGGCUCAACCUGGGAACUGCACUCGAAACUGCGUUUCUUGAGUAUCGGAGAGGAAAGCGGAAUACCUGGUGUAGAGGUGAAAUUCGUAGAUAUCAGGUGGAACACCAGUGGCGAAGGCGGCUUUCUGGACGAUUACUGACGCUGAGACGCGAAAGCGUGGGGAGCGAACAGG